This 339-nucleotide unclassified non-coding RNA is filed under the name Hevea brasiliensis (rubber tree). The record is from RNAcentral. Lineage: Eukaryota; Viridiplantae; Streptophyta; Magnoliopsida; Malpighiales; Euphorbiaceae.
GGAAAUCACACUGUUCAUCUGUUGCAUUUAAUUCAAUGAAGAGUUCAAAGGUGGAAUUGACCACAAAUUCUGGACGAGCUGAAGGUCUGUCAAUUUUAUUUACCACCACCACAACAGCAUGGCCAAAUUCUAAAGCCUUCUUUAAAACAAAUCUCGUUUGUGGCAUUGGCCCCUCCACAGAAUCUACCACUAGAAGAACUCCUUCAACCAUAUUGAGUACACGUUCGACUUCCCCGCCAAAGUCUGAGUGACCUGGAGUAUCAAUGAUAUUUAUCUUCGUUCCCUUGAAGUUUAUUGAUGUAUUUUUGCUGAGUAUAGUUAUUCCCCUUUCCCUCUCCA